GCGAAUCCGUAGCCUUCCGAGGCUCUCAUUCACUAUCCUCUUACACACCUGUGCACCCUUUGCUGAAGCGGAGUGUUAUUAGGCCCACUGCGGGCCGAGCGCCUCCCUUCGGUUCCCACGUAUCAUCUUCAAACCACGUUUACUAGAAUGUCUACCGUCUCGUCGUAAGGGCGAGCACAAACCAGUA
RNAcentral lists this unclassified non-coding RNA (187 nucleotides) under uncultured fungus. RNAcentral describes it as "sequence contains ITS1". The record is from RNAcentral. Lineage: Eukaryota; Fungi.